RNAcentral lists this ribosomal RNA (508 nucleotides) under uncultured bacterium. RNAcentral's name for it is "partial 16S ribosomal RNA". It matches the Rfam family "Bacterial small subunit ribosomal RNA", at positions 29 to 523 of the family's 1533-position model. The record is from RNAcentral.
AUUGAACGCUGGCGGCAUGCCUUACACAUGCAAGUCGAACGGCAGCGGGGGAGAAGCUUGCUUUUCCUGCCGGCGAGUGGCGAACGGGUGAGUAAUACAUCGGAACGUGCCCUGUAGUGGGGGAUAACUAGCCGAAAGAUUAGCUAAUACCGCAUACGACCUGAGGGGGAAAGUGGGGGACCGCAAGGCCUCAUGCUAUAGGAGCGGCCGAUGUCUGAUUAGCUAGUUGGUGGGGAAAAGGCCUACGAAGGCGACGAUCAGUAGCUGGUCUGCGAGGACGAUCAGCCACACUGGGACUGAGACACGGCCCAGACUCCUACGGGAGGCAGCAUGGGGGAAUUUUGGACAAUGGGCGAAAGCCUGAUCCAGCAAUGCCGGGUGUGUGAAGAAGGCCUUCGGGUUGUAAAGCACUUUUGUCCGGAAAGAAAUGGCUCUGGUUAAUACCUGGGGUCGAUGACGGUACCGGAAGAAUAAGGACCGGCUAACUACGUGCCAGCCGCCGCCGUAA